UGUGCAUGCACUUUUCUAUUUGCUGCUUUAUGGGAAAGUUGUGUCUCUCCCUCUCCUCCUCCCUCCCCUCUUUUUUUUCCCCUGCCCGUCUCUGCGUCUGUCAUGUGCCUGGGAUGUGCUCAUGCUUUUGGCACAGAGCGGCCGUUGCGCGCCGCCUAAUGCGGGUUACAAAGUGGCAGCACCAGUUUUAAAGUCUCACCCCCCUUAAGCAACCAACAAACCGACCAGCUACCCACCAACCCAGCAUGUUUAAACGCCGGGGAUUUUUAGUUGCUCCCCACGCCCCCCUCCCACCUCCAAGAGGAACAUUUACCUACACAUCAUACCACGAUACACACGGACCUCGUUGUUCUUCAGCUUCUGCCGCCUUGGACACUUUCUGAUUCCCUGGCAGUCAUCUGGCUGGACCGUGAGGAACGGUUAUGGAGAAAUGGAGCAACAGGCAGCAGCAGGACGCAGAGAGAGGAAGCCAUCACAGGAUCUCGGGGAUUUUGAUUGUCACUGGACCCGUAUGAGGUUUCUUGACCAUGAUGAGCCUUAAGUGACCAAACCCUCAACACGGAAGACAUAAAGAAUAUGCAUGCAAUUUCUAAGGUGAGUUAUCUGUCUUAAAGCUCCACUCUCUUGAUACUUCAAGUCAUGUAGACAGAAGUUUUCUUCUGUGAACCAGCAAUAGCUGCAUUGUUUUUCAAUUAGUAGUAUAUCUCAGUGUCAGUAGGAUAGUUUGACACACAUUGUUUCUGUCGAACUGCAGAUUGUAGAAGACAAUAAAAAAAAUACAGCUGUAAUGAAUUCCUCUGACCCACAUAUUACUGUCCCAUCCAUUUCUCUGGGGACACAGAAAGGGCAUUUACACAGGUAAACCGUGACUGGUCCCUAAAGUGAAAGAGGGGUUUUUCAGAAGGAAGAUGGGUUAUCCAUAAUUUACCAAGGUGUGGUUGCCAGACACUUAGAAGAUAAUGCAGUGCUUCAAGCAUACAGAACAUAGAGCCUUCUUGGUACUGGUGAGGCCAUUGUUGUGAGUUUUCCAGCUUGUCUGUUUCCAUCUAUACAGACAAAUAAAAAAAAUAAAUAAAACAACAACAAAUGUCCUUCCAAGGUUCAGAAGCCUAGACAGAAAUGGAAAGUGAAAGGAACGGUAAGGAAGGCCUUACUGGAGAGACAUGAUUCCAGUAAGGCAAACAUGUCUCUUCAGACAUGUUUGUUGGUGUUUAUAUUUAGGUCUGCUUUAAUGUCCCCCUCAGCAUUAGGAGCAGCUAAUCUCAUAAUGUGGUGGAGUUUCCCGCUGCAAAAAUAUAUUUGACUGCUUCCGACAUUUUAUGUAACGUCACUUUAAAAUGUGAAACACUACUAGGAAGAACAAUCAUACUGAUAGCAAAUGUAAGACCCUGUGAAAUGUCAAAUAGAGAAUACAGCAAAUUGAUUGUUGUGAAAACAAAGAAGCUUACAGAGACAUUGAUGGUUAUUGGUAAUGCCUGCUGAGAAGCCUGUUAAAUAAAUAUUUCUGAAUAAAUUAAACUAAAUUUCAUUAUGAUCACUGUAGCAAUCAUACAUUUUUAUAAGAAACAAAAUGUAACUCGCUCUGUUAAAUGUAGAAGUCGCUUGUCAAGCCCAUUGUUUUUUAAUUGAAAAUUGGCUACAUUUUGGCCAAGAUGGCCUAAUGAUUUUGCUCUUCCCUAAUAUUUCCCCCAAAAUGUGGACAUGCUUAAAUCUUUGUUGUGAUGUGUAUCAUUUUUUCACCUUCAUUAUCAGAAAUUGACAGAUUGCUCAUACUUACUUCUUGGUCUUUUAAUUCUUCUUAAACCAUCUUCCUUGAGGUUUUUGCAAAAGUAUAUCUGAUGUGUAAUUAACUUUUGCAUCUGUGCUUUAGAUACCUUUGGUUCUGAUUAUGACUUUACUAGUUAUCAGAUGUCUUGGAUGAGCUGCUAUAUUUGCUCUAAUCUGAUCCAUAAAACUUACCGUACAAUUUGUUCAACUACCACUUAUUUUUGUCCUGGUUUGCUUAAAGAUUUCUACUGUCCAUGCACACCAUAUACUGUACAAAGAU
Gambusia affinis (western mosquitofish) is the source of this 2047-nucleotide long non-coding RNA. RefSeq lists it as uncharacterized. The record is from RefSeq and is a predicted model, not a curated record. Lineage: Eukaryota; Metazoa; Chordata; Actinopteri; Cyprinodontiformes; Poeciliidae. The transcript has 3 exons.